UCAUAUUUCUUUCUUGCAUCUUUGCUUCUCAGAUAUUCCUGUUAAAUUCAUCAACUGCAAGUGCCGUCCAAAUACAGGUCCCGCCCUUCAGUAUCAUGAAAAACAAGAACUUUUUGUUUGAAGAUUUAGCAAUACAUUACUAAUACAAAUGUUAAAAAGCUUCACAUCUAAGGCAUUGACAAUUUCCAGAUUGCACAGCAUUAGUUGUGUCACCUACAGAGCCAGAACUUAAUCAGUAUCUCAUGAUCUGAAACUUGAUCUGGCUUCAUCAAUGGUUUAGUGUUGUCGUAACUCUGGUUGUACUUUACCUGGGUAGUAUAAGUCAACCAAUUGUAGUAUCAAGCUAUUGGUUGACUUAUACUACACGCGUAAAAUUACAAUCAAGAACCGACCCAUCCAAGUUAGCCAGCAAAAUUUUGGUGCAAUCUUUGAAAUUGGUCUGAAGAAAAAAAAUGCUGCAAUUGAUUGGCUUAUACUACACAGAUCGUGGAAUAAGCCACUAUUCCAGAGAAAACGACAGCUGUGUCUCGGUUUCUUGAUUUCAACCGCAGGAACAAGAUAAUCUUUCAUCAUAUCUGUCUACCUAUGUGGUCUGUGGAUCUUUCCAAGUAUUAGCCUUUGAUGAAGAUGUUGCUGAGCUCGACUUACUGAAUGAGCUAGGGGAUAUACAAAGAUUAGCCUUUUCUACUUUCGAGAGGAUGGAUCAGGAGAUUUCUCAGUGAUCAUGAAAUUGUUCCACAAAUCAUAGCAUUGGGCUUUCUAUGGGAAGACAAGUAGAACAUUAAGUGAUCGACUCUUCUAAAACUUCUAACUUUGUUACUGUUGGUAUUAAGGUGUGAAUGUGAAGUGAGAGAGCUAGUAAUCUAGGAGUGAAGGAGAAUACUUGACCUGUGAAUUUUUGCUAUUUGGAUCCUUUUUGUAAUGAAACUGUAAGCUUCAUUUGA
Molecule: long non-coding RNA, 944 nt
Organism: Rosa chinensis
Lineage: Eukaryota; Viridiplantae; Streptophyta; Magnoliopsida; Rosales; Rosaceae
Exons: 6
Source: RefSeq, a predicted model, not a curated record